AAACGACUUCUGGCAACGGAUAUCUCGGCUCUCGCAUCGAUGAAGAACGUAGCGAAAUGCGAUACUUGGUGUGAAUUGCAGAAUCCCGUGAACCAUCGAGUCUUUGAACGCAAGUUGCGCCCGAAGCCACUAGGUCGAGGGCACGUCUGCCUGGGCGUCACG
This 162-nucleotide ribosomal RNA is filed under the name Polyscias racemosa. RNAcentral describes it as "5.8S ribosomal RNA". It matches the Rfam family "5.8S ribosomal RNA". From Rfam's summary of the family: 5.8S ribosomal RNA (5.8S rRNA) is a component of the large subunit of the eukaryotic ribosome. It is transcribed by RNA polymerase I as part of the 45S precursor that also contains 18S and 28S rRNA. Functionally, it is thought that 5.8S rRNA may be involved in ribosome translocation. The record is from RNAcentral. Lineage: Eukaryota; Viridiplantae; Streptophyta; Magnoliopsida; Apiales; Araliaceae.